AAUGAACGCUGGCGGCGUGCCUAACACAUGCAAGUCGAGCGAGAAAACUCCUUCGGGAGUUAGUACAGCGGCGGACGGGUGAGUAACGCGUGAGAAUCUGCCCUUUAGUGAGGAAUACCCUCGAGAAAUCGAGGUUAAUACUGCAUACGUCCCUUCGGGGAGAAAGAUGGCCUCUUUGCUGUCGCUAAAGGAUGAGCUUGCGUACUAUUAGCUAGUUGGUGGGGUAAUGGCCUACCAAGGCGAUGAUGGUUAGCCGGCCUGAGAGGGUGUACGGCCACACUGGAACUUAGACACGGUCCAGACUCCUACGGGUGGCAG
RNAcentral lists this ribosomal RNA (318 nucleotides) under uncultured bacterium. RNAcentral describes it as "bacterial SSU rRNA". It matches the Rfam family "Bacterial small subunit ribosomal RNA", at positions 29 to 351 of the family's 1533-position model. The record is from RNAcentral.